This 28-nucleotide small RNA is filed under the name Bombyx mori (domestic silkworm). Its description in RNAcentral is "ovarian small RNA-36196". Lineage: Eukaryota; Metazoa; Arthropoda; Insecta; Lepidoptera; Bombycidae. The record is from RNAcentral.
UGUUGUGAUUGAUUCUUUCUGCAAAGAU